UUUUAAUGGCGGGCAUUCGCUCGGCUUAUAGUCGAGAGGAAAGUCCGGACACCAUAGAGCAAAAUCCCGAUUGAAAAAUCGGAGUGAUAGGGGAAAACCCUAUUGCAUGAACAGUGCCACAGAAAAUAAACCGCCUGCAAGGGUAAGGGUGAAAAGGCGAGGUAAGAGCUCACCGCCGUUAGAGUAAUCGAACGGGCAUGGAAAACUCGGUUUGGUGCAAGACAAUGUAUGAUGUCGGGCUGCUCGUCCACAAGACAUCGGGUGUGUCGCACUCUCGCAAGAGAGGUGUUAGCGAAAGCUAAUGCAGAUAAAUGAAUGCCACUCGAAAGAGUACAGAAUCUGGCUUACAGCCAUUAAAAAAGC
This 363-nucleotide RNase P RNA is filed under the name Verrucomicrobiaceae bacterium. RNAcentral's name for it is "RNase P RNA component class A". It matches the Rfam family "Bacterial RNase P class A". From Rfam's summary of the family: Ribonuclease P (RNase P) is a ubiquitous endoribonuclease, found in archaea, bacteria and eukarya as well as chloroplasts and mitochondria. Its best characterised activity is the generation of mature 5'-ends of tRNAs by cleaving the 5'-leader elements of precursor-tRNAs. Cellular RNase Ps are ribonucleoproteins. Lineage: Bacteria; Pseudomonadati; Verrucomicrobiota; Verrucomicrobiia; Verrucomicrobiales; Verrucomicrobiaceae. The record is from RNAcentral.